ACUUGAAAUCGACCUCGGAUCAGGUAGGACUACCCGCUGAACUUAA
Molecule: ribosomal RNA, 46 nt
Filed under: Cryptodiscus cladoniicola
Lineage: Eukaryota; Fungi; Ascomycota; Lecanoromycetes; Ostropales; Stictidaceae
Description: partial 28S ribosomal RNA
Source: RNAcentral